GAAUGGGAAAUUUUAUAUUUUUGAUACCCUAAAUAUAACAUUUUGAGGGUAUAUUAGCUACGCAGCAGAGAGUUCGUAUCAGAAGAGCUAAUUGACCUUCCAAAUGUCACCUUAACAGGUAGCUAUCCAUCAGCAAUGACAUUUUGUUGAUUAAUUAUAGCAAAAAUACAAGAUUUGGGUUGGCUUUGCGCAUCAUAUAGGCAUUCAUUUAUGUAUUAAGCGAUGAUGUGAAAAUUCCUUAAGCCAGGCAAUGUUCUAGUGUAGUCCGGAGGAUUGUGGAAUGUGCCACGUGGCCAUGUGUUUGUCAGAAGUAACACGACAAUUGUGGACUUGUGACGCGACUCUCUGCUGACAUCUCGGGCACAGUUCCGUUUCCGUUUUGGGGAGCGAUUUUUUGUGUUGUUUCCAGCGCGCUGGAAUUAAUUUAGCGUGCGCUGAGCCAACAAGAAACAAAUGAUUUUUUGUUGGUUUCGCC
This 475-nucleotide long non-coding RNA is filed under the name Drosophila guanche. Lineage: Eukaryota; Metazoa; Arthropoda; Insecta; Diptera; Drosophilidae. The record is from RNAcentral.